RNAcentral lists this small RNA (640 nucleotides) under Pan troglodytes (chimpanzee). RNAcentral's name for it is "retained intron". Lineage: Eukaryota; Metazoa; Chordata; Mammalia; Primates; Hominidae. The record is from RNAcentral.
AGCAGACGGGAGUUUCUCCUCGGGGUCGGAGCAGGAGGCACGCGGAGUGUGAGGCCACGCAUGAGCGGACGCUAACCCCCUCCCCAGCCGCAAAGAGUCUACAUGUCUAGGGUCUAGACAUGUUCAGCUUUGUGGACCUCCGGCUCCUGCUCCUCUUAGCGGCCACCGCCCUCCUGACGCACGGCCAAGAGGAAGGCCAAGUCGAGGGCCAAGACGAAGACAUCCCACCAAUCACCUGCGUACAGAACGGCCUCAGGUACCAUGACCGAGACGUGUGGAAACCCGAGCCCUGCCGGAUCUGCGUCUGCGACAACGGCAAGGUGUUGUGCGAUGACGUGAUCUGUGACGAGACCAAGAACUGCCCCGGCGCCGAAGUCCCCGAGGGCGAGUGCUGUCCCGUCUGCCCCGACGGCUCAGAGUCACCCACCGACCAAGAAACCACCGGCGUCGAGGUAAUCUCCUGCCCUCGAAUUUUGCCCCUGCGCGGCCCGUGACUCCUCACAGUCCUCCCUUCUCUAACCUGGCCUCUUGUUUCUUCUCCCCCAAUCCCACAGGGACCCAAGGGAGACACUGGCCCCCGAGGCCCAAGGGGACCCGCAGGCCCCCCUGGCCGAGAUGGCAUCCCUGGACAGCCUGGACU